GCUAUCUGUGACCACUAACCAAAGAAUUGAAAAGGAGAACACAAAAAAGGAGGGAGUAGAAUGAAACAAGAAAAAUUGGUAAAUACCAUUUGGGUCUUGUUCGAAAAAGACAGAAGUAUCUACCGUCAACGAAGCAGCAGAGACACAAAAUAUCAUGCAGAACAUAUAUCCCUUUGCCUAGGAUGAAAGGAUGAUCAUUCAGGUUCCUUCCAGCCCUUGAAUCAGCAAUGUGGGCACUGAUCGCCUUCUCAGAUGCCAUAGGAUUGUGAGCUACAUUUGUGAAUGUGGAAGACCACUGGCUCCAAUCUGAAUUUAAGGAUAUACUCUGCAAUAUAAGUGCCAAGUGGUCAUCAAACCUUUGAUGGAGGACUUCUAGCUAGGAGGAAUCUACUUCCUCUUGAGGUUUUGCCCAGUGACAGCCAGCCUCAUCAAAGAAACGGAAAGUUAGGAAGAUGAAGAAAUGAAUCUGCCUAACAACAUUUUCAAAUAAAGCAGUAGAGGAUUCCAAAAAUUAAGAACUGGGAAAAAAGCAAACAAUAAAAAAUCUGUCUAUCCCUAGCUUGAGUGUGAUUUCCAACUCUUGUCCUAAUGCAGGUUUUUUUGGUGGUCGUUCAGUCAUUU
Sarcophilus harrisii (Tasmanian devil) is the source of this 621-nucleotide long non-coding RNA. RefSeq lists it as uncharacterized. NCBI's taxonomy places the organism in Eukaryota, Metazoa, Chordata, Mammalia, Dasyuromorphia, Dasyuridae. The transcript has 3 exons. The record is from RefSeq and is a predicted model, not a curated record.